This 505-nucleotide ribosomal RNA is filed under the name uncultured bacterium. RNAcentral's name for it is "bacterial SSU rRNA". It matches the Rfam family "Bacterial small subunit ribosomal RNA", at positions 899 to 1397 of the family's 1533-position model. The record is from RNAcentral.
ACUCAAAUGAAUAGACGGGGGCCCGCACAAGCGGCGGAGCAUGUGGCUUAAUUCGACGCAACGCGAAGAACCUUACCAAGGCUUGACAUACACCGGAAAACCCUGGAGACAGGGUCCCCCUUGUGGUCGGUGUACAGGUGGUGCAUGGCUGUCGUCAGCUCGUGUCGUGAGAUGUUGGGUUAAGUCCCGCAACGAGCGCAACCCUUGUUCUGUGUUGCCAGCAUGCCCUUCGGGGUGAUGGGGACUCACAGGAGACCGCCGGGGUCAACUCGGAGGAAGGUGGGGACGACGUCAAGUCAUCAUGCCCCUUAUGUCUUGGGCUGCACACGUGCUACAAUGGCCGGUACAAAGAGCUGCGAUACCGUGAGGUGGAGCGAAUCUCAAAAAGCCGGUCUCAGUUCGGAUUGGGGUCUGCAACUCGACCCCAUGAAGUCGGAGUCGCUAGUAAUCGCAGAUCAGCAUUGCUGCGGUGAAUACGUUCCCGGGCCUUGUACACACCGCCCGU